AGGGAGUAUUCGGCAAUGGAGGGAACUCUGACCGAGCAACGCCGCGUGAAUGACGAAGGUCUUCGGAUUGUAAAAUUCUGUUAUAUGGGAAGAAAGAUAAGAUAAGGAAAUGUAUUUUAUUUGACCGUACCAUAUGAGAAAGCCACGGCUAACUACGUGCCAGCAGCCGCGGUAAUACGUAGGUGGCAAGCGUUAUCCGGAAUUAUUGGGCGUAAAGAGAGAGCAGGCGGUUAUUCAAGUCUGAAGUGAAAAGCAGUGGCUUAACCAUUGUAGGCUUUGGAAACUAGAUAGCUAGAGUGCAAGAGAGGUUAGCGGAACUCCAUGUGUAGCGGUGAAAUGCGUAGAUAUAUGGAAGAACACCAGUGGCGAAGGCGGCUAACUAGCUUGAAACUGACGCUCAGUCUCGAAAGCGUGGGUAGCAAAUAGGAUUAGAUACCCUAGUAGUCCACGCUGUAAACGAUGAGUACUAGGUGUUGGGGAAACUCAGCGCCGAAGUUAACACAAUAAGUACUCCGCCUGGGUAGUACGUUCGCAAGAAUGAAACUUAAAGGAAUUGACGGGGGCCCGCACAAGCAGUGGAGCAUGUGGUUUAAUUCGACGCUACGCGAAGAACCUUACCAGGACUUGACAUCUGAUUAAAGGCUCUAGAGAUAGAGAGAUAGUUAUAGUCAAGACAGGUGGUGCAUGGUUGUCGUCAGCUCGUGUCGUGAGAUGUUGGGUUAAGUCCCGCAACGAGCGCAACCCUCGUCCUUAGUUGCCAGCAGUAAGAUGGGAACUCUAAGGAGACCGCCGGUAUAAGCCGGAGGAAGAUGGGGAUGACGUCAAAUCAUCAUGCCCUUUAUGUCCUGGGCGACACACGUGCUACAAUGGCCGGUACAAAGAGAAGCAAGACCGCGAGGUGGAGCAAAUCUCAUAAAGCCGGUCUCAGUUCGGAUUGGAGUCUGCAACUCGACUACAUGAAGUUGGAAUUGCUAGUAAUCGCGGAUCAGCCAUGUCGCGGUGAAUACGUUCCCGGGCCUUGUACACACCGCCCGUCAAACCAUGAGAGCUGGUUUUACUCGAAGUCGUUAUUCUAACCGUAAGGAGGAAGGCGCCUAAGGUAGGACUGGUGAUUGGGGUUAAGUCGUAACAAGGUAUCCCUACGGGAACGUGGGG
RNAcentral lists this ribosomal RNA (1155 nucleotides) under human gut metagenome. Its description in RNAcentral is "bacterial SSU rRNA". It matches the Rfam family "Bacterial small subunit ribosomal RNA", at positions 356 to 1517 of the family's 1533-position model. The record is from RNAcentral.